Molecule: long non-coding RNA, 4530 nt
Organism: Ostrea edulis (European flat oyster)
Lineage: Eukaryota; Metazoa; Mollusca; Bivalvia; Ostreida; Ostreidae
Exons: 2
Source: RefSeq, a predicted model, not a curated record
CUUUCUUUCUCAUUCUCUCUCUAACUUGCCAUUCUUAAUAUUUCCUGUCCAUGUAAAUUGAUCUUGUUUUGCAACAUGAAACAUUGUUUUUAUCAUAUAAAAAAGGUAUAUUUCAUCAUAAAUGUUGUGUAAUUAGCUAAUAAUACUUUAACGACGUAUAGCUGAUUAAUAAUGUGAAAUAUAUUUCGCAACGGGUCCCACAAAAUAUAAAGUCUGGAACAUUUCAAUUGGUCGAUUAAUGCUCUACUGAGAUAUGAUUGAAAUAUCUAUUGAAAAAUACCUGACACCGUCCUACCUGGACAAUUUACGUUACAGUCUAUAGACUCAUACAUUCUAUCAAUUUCUGGUGCACGUUCUUUGUACAAAAAAAAAAAAAGAAAAGAAAAGAAAUAAAACCUAUCAAAUUUGUGCGAAAGGAAUUAUGCUUGACGUUCUUUAGUUAAUUAGCAUAAUAUUUGUUGCAUCACAGUAUUGAUUGAUUAUAUUGUUUAACGUCCCUCUCGAGAAUUUAUCAUUUAUGUGGAGACGUCACCACCGCCGGUGAAGGGCUGUAAAAUUUAGGCUUAUACGCGGCGCUUACGGCCUCUUUUUACCGUGCCACAUCUACUGUGACACGGGGCCUCAGGUUUUGCGGUCUCAUCCGAAGGUCCGCCCCAUUUUUUCGCAUCAUACAAAAAGUAAGGGGGUACUGCGGACCUUUUCUAACCCGGAUCAUCUGGGGACACAUCAGAGUAAAAUCUGUCCACAAUAAAAUGUAAUUAGUGGAAAAUGCCAACACAGUUUAUGUCCAAGUAACUGCCGUGUUUGAAAAGAUCGUGUUUUAAUAGUAAAUUCAAGGGGUUUCUCUAGAAGUUCAGCCAGGAAUCUCAAAACUCCACUAAUUACUCCCUGACGAUUCAUAAAUGAAACCACACAAAGCCCAGAUUUAUAAAUCAUUGCUUUCAAAAAGAAGUAUUCUUUGUUUCGUCUAAAAAUUUCCAAGAUCGAAUUGGCGAAAAAAGUUGAUCAGCAACUUGCAGUUAACUUCAAGAGAUUAACCCAUGCAAUUAUUGUCUACGAAUUGAUGGAUGAUCUUUCAAAUAUUGGUUGAAACGCGAGGAGUUUAAUUUGAAUUAUGUUAUAGAAUCUUUAUUGAAGCGAACUAUAUGUAUUAUUUUAAACAAAAGUCUACAAAACAACAUGCAGUGAUUCACCAAUCUUUAAAAAUUGGGUAUUUUCGUUUGUAAAAACCAUCCAUUACCAAUCAAACAGUGUACAGAUAUUGCAUGCUAAUGCGGAAUAUUUCUAGCCAUUCUGUUUGUCUCUCAGAGACCAAGACAAUAGAUUAGUCGUACAUGCUUUAAUAGAAGUCCCGAGGAAAACAAGUUCUUCUCACGUCAAGAAUUUCAGGUUGCUUAGAAAGUUCAUUAUCAGACACUGUUCAACUUGUCCUGUUGUUAACCCCUCCAUGGAAUUGUCGUCAAACUCUUUGAUGGGAUUAUAUCUGACGCUGUACGCAAGCUUGUCCCCAAAUCACAGUCGUCUUUAAAAUAUAAUGUAAGACGAGGAGUUUAUUUUUCCGGCAUUGUUAAUCAACCACAUCGAAGCUUAUGUGGGGCUGAGUUACAGUGAAACCCCAUUAUUCUGUAAAUUAAACUUCGCAACAGGAAUGAUGACAAUUUAGGUCUGACAUAUUGAAAGGUCCAUAUAAUUGUGUAAAUCAAUUUUAGACUGAUCGAUUAACAUCUAAUAAAGAGUAGAUCGACAGUAUUCACUUGAAUUUGAUCAACGAUUUCUAUGGGGACUGUCUCUAUGAUAUCUACACCAUGGCUAUUUUUCAGAAAAUAUAAGUAGGCCAGAUAUGCUGUUAUGGAUUAGGUAAGUGAUAUAUGUACGCAACUCGCAAUAUAUAUUUUGUUGGGAUAGUUUGAGGGUUGAUUGUACCUUGGACAUGAGAGUCGACUUUUUUCGUACGAAAAGCAAAACUAUCCUUUAACACGAUACAAGGUGACUUUCAAACUUCUCAAAAUUCUACCACUCUUAUUGUGAAGAUAAUUUCGCUAUUUAUUACAAACUUCUUAACGGUUUACUGAAAAUUAAAUGCUAUAAUUUGACUCAAUAUUGUCUGUAAACAGUAAAACACAGUUACAGCGAACAUGAUUACGGUGAAUUCACGCUUACAGUGAAGUGAUUUGUUUAUUCCCUGUAUUUGUAAAAUAUGUUAUGAAUUCAUUGGAUAUAACAAAUUAUGUGUACAAUGAAUCAAACUUUUUCGUCCACGACACUUCGUUAUAAGCGUGCUUUACUGUAUACGUUUAAUGGAUAUGCAAGUCCGUGUUUAGGCGAAUUAAGUCCUUUCAGAUGGGAACAAUGCUAGAUGUAUCACCUUGGUCGUGUAAUUACUGUUUUAACUAUCACUGUAACUACCUCCAUUUCAACUUCGCGUAGUUGAUUUAUAUUUUCAAAAAUAAAAUUCUCGAAUGUUUCGAGGUACCAAGAUUAUGAAAAAGUGAAAAUAACGAUCAGUGUUCAAUCUCAUAUUUCCUAAAUAAUACAAAAUUAAGAGCAGGGCAAACACGGACCCUGGACACACCAGAGGUGAGAUCAAGUGUCUAAGGGGAGUAUGCAUCCCCUGCCGACCGGUCACACCCGCCGUGAGCCAUAUAUCUCGAUCAGGUAAACGGAGUUAUCCGUAGUCAAAAUCAAUGUGCCACGAACGGUCUCACAAUUGGUAUAAAAUACGUCAGACAGCAUUUGACCCAAUGAUUGGUUGUAUUGGCAAACUAGAUCGUUAUAACGACCACAGAAUUUGCGAAAUGCUGACUUUAAACGAGACUGUUGAAACCCCAUUACGAUCAACUUGUUUGUCAGUAGCCUGCCUCGAUUUAAAAACUGACCAUACGCAGAACAAGCUCUUGCGUAUCUAACCAGUAGAGAGAUAUAAACCAAAUGCAGGUGAUAAUGGAAUAUUGCUACAUAAAUAUGGGAAGUUGACGAUGGAGAAGCUGAAAUCAUCCCGUUUGUCAUACAGUUGAGUUGUCAGUUUGUCGUUAAUAUCUACUCUCGAUACAAUAUCUAAGUAUGAACAGAAGUGAACGACUCUGCGGUGUCUUUUAUUUCGAUCUCGCAGGGAUAUAUCGAAUCGACAUAUGAUAAAGAACAAUAUCGCACCUGACGAUUAUGUGUAGAUAAAUUAAAUUAUAAUGGAUAUGUCUGGGAGGAGAUGAUGACAAUGUACUGGUUGGUUGUAUAUUGUUUAACGUCUUGCUCGAGAAUCUUUCUUUCCUAUGGGGACCUCACCAUCGCCAGUGAAGGCCUAUGUUCGGCGCUUAUGGCCUUCGAGCAUGAGGGGUCUUUAUUGUGCCACACCUGCGGUGACACGGGGUCUCGGUUUUUGCGAUCUCAUCCGAAGGACCGCCCCAUUUAGUUGCCUCUUACGACAAGCAAGGGGUACUGAGGACCUAUUCUAACCAGGGUCUUCACGGGAUAACUAUGUACUGUACGCGAAAAGUGUUAUAAUUUUCAUUUAAGAAAUAAGAUAUCAUUUUUGAAUGUUGUUGGGAUAUGACCUGAAGUUGGUCACGUGAUCAAAUCCUAUAACGCCCGAAGGGCGUUAUAAUAGAUUUGAUCACGUUCCAACUUCAUGUCAUAUCCCAAUAACAUUCAAAAACGAUAUUUUGUUUCUUAUAUUUUCUAUUUUGAUUUGUGUUCUUACCGAGCUUCCAUGAUUAUGUAGCAGAUGACCAAAAUAACGAUCGUAGAACACAAAAUAUAGUUCGUAAGAGUUUUCACGAAUAAAAAAUUAGGAACAAUAUCAAAGAGAAUGUAAGAUAUAGAUAUUUAAUUGAAAAUGUUUUAAAAAAGACGAAACAUGUGUAAAAAUAAAGGUAAUUUAGAGCGUAAAGUUAACUGAAAUGACAAGAAGAGCGGAGUAAACUACAUCCGUGGUGUGAUUUGGUCGCGAUCAGCGAUGGGGAAACUGGCGUCGGUCUAGCUUACUAAGUUGAAAACGCAAUUGUUGAUCACAGAUUUCGACAGAAAUUCAAAGGAUCUGAGAGAAUUGAUGGUGGAUAUGAUGGGUCAAGUUAACGUUAAGCUCUUAGUCAGGUUUUUUUUGAAAGAAACAACAGUAUGUUCAUCGUUAGGACUCGCGGUUGUAGCCAUGCCGGGGACGAUUCGAGACAGUAGGACAUAUUUAGACCAAGUGCAGGAUUUUAAUGAAGACUCGCACCGGUUACCUGACAUGAACAUGUAAAUUUUUCGAGCCUCGAAACCAGCCUCGCUUAUAAUCAUGCCGAGUCAUAAUCGUGAUGGAAGUUGCCAGGAAACAACAGGUUAACUUAUCAUCAUGAAGUAAAUACAUGUAGGCUUAUAACUCUGCCUACAUGUUUUCGCUUCCAAUAUCAUAGAACUUUAUUUUAUAAAUUCGCCAUGCAGAAGUUGGAGACGGUAUUUAAAACUGUAUAAAAUGAAACAACAGAACGAUAUAUGUUUAAUGUUUCUCUUUUAUAAAUUGAUGAAAUUCUUGUUUGCUUACAAAAUAAACUGUAU